This 429-nucleotide ribosomal RNA is filed under the name Bacteroidota bacterium. RNAcentral's name for it is "Bacteroidetes bacterium partial 16S ribosomal RNA". It matches the Rfam family "Bacterial small subunit ribosomal RNA", at positions 355 to 776 of the family's 1533-position model. The record is from RNAcentral. Lineage: Bacteria; Pseudomonadati; Bacteroidota.
UAGGGAAUCUUCGGCAAUGGGGGGAACCCUGACCGAGCAACGCCGCGUGAGUGAAGAAGGUUUUCGGAUCGUAAAGCCCUGUUGUUAAGGAAGAACGAGUGUGAGAAUGGAAAGUUCAUACUGUGACGGUACUUAACCAGAAAGGGACGGCUAACUACGUGCCAGCAGCCGCGGUAAUACGUAGGUCCCGAGCGUUGUCCGGAUUUAUUGGGCGUAAAGCGAGCGCAGGCGGUUAGAUAAGUCUGAAGUUAAAGGCAGUGGCUCAACCAUUGUAGGCUUUGGAAACUGUUUAACUUGAGUGCAGAAGGGGAGAGUGGAAUUCCAUGUGUAGCGGUGAAAUGCGUAGAUAUAUGGAGGAACGCCGGUGGCGAAAGCGGCUCUCUGGUCUGUAACUGGCGCGGAGGCUCGAAAGCGUGGGGAGCGAACAGG